Penaeus monodon (black tiger shrimp) is the source of this 233-nucleotide long non-coding RNA. RefSeq lists it as uncharacterized. The transcript has 3 exons. NCBI's taxonomy places the organism in Eukaryota, Metazoa, Arthropoda, Malacostraca, Decapoda, Penaeidae. The record is from RefSeq and is a predicted model, not a curated record.
GGAGAUUGGGAUGCCCACAUUGUUCAUUUAGCAACUUGCACACCGUGGUUUCUGCUACAGGUGCAAAGUCCCCAGAGAGGGUGGUCGUGCUCGACCUGGUGACUGGGAAUGCAGUGACUGCAAGUUUCUGAACUUUGCUUCAAGGAGCCAGUGCAUGAAGUGCUCUAGCAGGAAAUGUGACUAAGCAUAUAUAGGGCACAAAAGAUAUGCACUCCUAAUAUUGCUGAGAGAUU